This 15524-nucleotide long non-coding RNA is filed under the name Gossypium barbadense (sea-island cotton). RNAcentral's name for it is "long non-coding RNA (GBAR_LNC000211)". Lineage: Eukaryota; Viridiplantae; Streptophyta; Magnoliopsida; Malvales; Malvaceae. The record is from RNAcentral.
AUAAACUGUUGUAUAUAUUUGUAUUUCUCUUUUUCUCCAAAAAAAAAAACACCCCUACAUCGUUUUAAUUCGGGCUUUUUAUAGACACUGUACAUAGUAUUUUACAUAUUUAAUGUUAUUUCCUGCCAUAUUUGUGUUGCCUCUGUCGUUCUUCUUUCCCCUUUUGCAGGUACCAGCGAGGAGAUUUAGCAAUGAACGAACGCUGACAACGGCACACCGGCGUUGAUUCGGGCGUCGACCACGGCAUGAUUCAAAGCCUGGAAUCAUGGCCUGGAACCACGGCACUAAUAAUGGGUAACUGGAACGACGCGAGACGAACAGACGCGUUGAUUGAAGUGUUUGCGGCGCCUAGGGUUUCUAAAACCCUAGGUCUUUCGCCCUUGGCUUACAAUUUGGGCCACUUGGGCUUCUCUAAGUUGGGUAAGGGUGUAACGGGUUAGUGGGUUUAGGUAUAACCGGGUGUGGGCUUAUUGGGUUGUAACCGGGCAUAGGGUUUUAGGUUAAAUGGGUCUUGUAUCAUCAAGCCUUUAGGCCCAUUUGUAAACUGGACAUUUCAACAUGGAGAUUUAUUUAUUUAAUUUACAAAUUUUGUUUAUUUCAUUGUACGGGCCCGGGUGAAUUUGGGCUGUUACAGCUGCCCCUCUUUGCUUAUUACUGUGUAACAGGAGUAGAGUAAAGAUUAUAAAAGGACCUAAUUUGUCCGGCCCAGCCAAGUCUCGAAAUCUUGAUCCUCAUCUUUAGGUAUUCUGAUAGCUUUGGGAAUGUCAAAUUGGCUAUCUUCAACCUACUUCUUGCAAACUUAGGAAUACCAAAUCUGUUAACUUCGAUCUGCUCUCAGACACUACAAAAACGCCAGAUCUGCUAUCUUCGAUCUGCUCUCUGAUAAAACAGAGACGCCAAAUCUGUUAUCUUUGAUCUGCUCUCUGACAAUACAAAGACACCAAAUCUGCUAUCUUUGAUCUACUCUCUGAAAAAAUAGAAAAGCCAAAUCUGCUAUCUUCGAUCUGCUCCUUGUGAGCGCAAGGAUGCCAAAUCAUCUUGGAUUUGCUUUGAUGCAAAAACAUCCGAAGGUUAGAUCUGCUAUGUCUUCGAUCUGCUUUCCGUCGAAUAUGGAGAUGCCAAAUCUAUUUUUUCGAUUUGUUCUCUGACAAUACAGAGAUGCCAAAUCUGCUAUCUUCGAUCUUCCCCUUGUAAGCGCAAGGAUGCCAAAUCAUCUUGGAUCUGCUUCGAUGCAAAAACAUCCGAAGGUUAGAUCUGCUAUGUCUUCGAUCUGCUCUCCGUCGAAUAUGGAGAUGCCAAAUCUGUUUCUUCGAUUUAUUUUCUGACAAUACAGAGAUGCCAAAUCUGCUAUUUUUUAUCUGCUCUCUGACUAUACAGAGAUGCCAAAUCUGCUAUCUUUGAUCUGCUCUCUGACUAUACAGAGAUGCCAAAUCUGCUAUCUUUGAUAUGCUCACUGACAAUACAGAGAUGCCAAAUCUGCUAUCUUCGAUCUGCUCCCUGACAAUACAGAGACGUCAAAUAUGCUAUCUUUGAUCUGUUCUCUGACUAUACAGAGAUGCCAAAUCUGCUAUCUUUGAUCUGCUCUCUGACUAUACAGAGAUGUCAAAUCUGCUAUCUUUGAUCUGCUCCCUAACAAUACAGAGACACCAAAUCUGCUAUUUUUGAUCUGCUCUCUAACUAUACAGAGAUGCCAAAUUUGCUAUCUUUGAUCUGUUCCUUGUAAACGCAAGGAUGCCAAAUCAUCUUGGAUCUACUUUGAUGUGAAAACAUCCAAAGAUUAGAUCUGCUCUAUCUCCGAUCUGCUCUCCGUCGAUUAUGAAGAUGCCAAAUCUGUUUCUUCGAUUUGUUCUUUGACAAUACAGAGAUGCCAAAUCAUUUUGGAUCUGCUUCAGUGUAAACACGUGAAAGCCAAAUCUGCUAUGCUUUAGCCUGUUACCCUACUGCUUAGGGGGUUAAGGCGCAUCAAUCUUCAUUGUCCCUUGAAGGACAUAACCUGUAUAAUGUGUAUGAGUUCAUGCCUAAUGAUUAGGAUGCUAUGAUCGAAGUGAGUCAAAUGCUCCUAAUUAAACCUGUUAUAAUGCAAAAUGUUUAUGAAUAUGACCCCUAUUCUAGACAUCACCACCCAUUCCUUCGUCGAAGUUUAUCCUUAUUUUUCUCUAAGUAUCAUUCCUACUCAGCCUGUGGGUUCGUACCAUUCUUCAAAUACUAUGACCCACCAAAAAUGUUUGUAAGAUGAUCCUCUCUUAGGAUCGAAUCGUUUGAUUUGUCCAAUCAUCAUUUUAGACUAAAAAAAAAAUUUCCUCGAGUUCUUUCAAACCUUACUUACGUGAAUUCCUCAAACAAUUGUUUUGUUUUAGUUUCUUGUAUUAUCUAAAAAUUUCCAGAGUAAUGAGUAAAACUUCAUUUAUGAAAAUUAUUUAGUUCAUCUAUCAUUAUUUAAUGCAACAUACUUUAAGGAUAAUGGAAGAUGAAUUCAAUCUUGAGAAUAAUGAGAUUUGAAUGAAUUUGUCAAAAAUACAAAGGAAAUUAAUCUGAUACCCUAUCUUUGAGAAGAAAGAGAAUCUAAAGAUAGCAAACAGGACAAAAGUUAGAUGCCCUAGAUAUCGCCGCUUGAGCAUCUGUUUACCAGCUCCAUGAAAGCUUUCUUGAGUUCAACAUGUGUUUAAGAGAUCCAAAGUACUUUGUUGAUGCCCCGGUAUGCAACGGGCUUCGCUCUUUGUUAAGUCAGAUAUAGCAAGAUUACUGAGUACUCUUCAAAAUUUGAGCCGCCCUUUCGGGUUUUCAACUCAAAACCCCUUUGGUCACAAGGCACCCUUUGCGGGUUUUCACCUUGGCCUCUCCAUUUUUUUUUGAAAACUCAAGGUGCACUUUGUGAGUUUUUACCCUGGAUUCUCCUUUCCUUUAGACAAAGUACUUUUUGACUGAGUCUAAAUUCACUGGAUUGGGUAAACUCUUCCCAUACAUUUCUGUUAAGAUCAAUGCACCCCCAGAGAAGGCCUUCUUCACGACAUAUGGCCCUUCCCAAUUCGGCGUCCAUUUUCCUCUAAAGUCCUUCUGAAUAGGAAGGAUCUUUUUCAGCACAAGAUCCCCCUCGUGGAAUUCUCUUGGUCGCACUUUCUUGUCGUAAGCUCGCAUCAUUCGCUUCUGAUACAUCUGACCUUGACGAAUGGCCCUUAGCCUAUUUUCCUCAAUCAAGUUCAACUGAUCAUAUUGCGAUUGUAUCCAUUCAGGCUCAUCCAACUUUAUCUCUGACAAGACUCAAAGAGACGGUAUUUCUACUUCAAUGGGUAAUACUGCUUCCAUCCCAUAAACCAACGAGAAAGGAGUUGCCCCAGUAGAUGUUCUGACGGACGUCCGGUAGGCUAAGAGUGCGAAUGGUAAUUUCUCAUGCCAAUCUCGGUAGGUUUCAGUCAUCUUCCCCACUAUCCUCUUGACGUUCUUGUUAGCUGCUUCUACUGCCCCAUUCAUUUUUGGGCGAUACGGAGAAGAAUUAUGAUGCUUAAUCUUAACUGACUGCAAACUUCUGCUAUCGUUUUGUUGUUCAAGUUCAAUGUAUUGUCUGAUAUGAUCCUUUCAGGCAUCCCAUACCGACAAAUGAUCUCUUUCUUCAAGAAUCGACUCACAGCUGACUUAGUAACAUUCUCAUAAGAAGCAGCCUCUACCCACUUCAUGAAGUAAUCAAUGACCACAAAAAUAAAGCGAUGCCCAUUUGAAGCUUUUGGUGAUAUUGGCCCAAUGACAUCCAUGCCCCACAUGGAAAAAGGCCAUGGAGAAGUAAUAACAUGUAGAGGUGAAGGUGGUACAUGAAUCUUGUCUCCAUAAAUCUGACAUUUAUGGUAUUUCUUGGUGUAGUUGAUACAAUCCCCUUCCAUAGUAGACCAAUAAUAUCCAAACCUCAUGAUUUGUCUAGCCAUUGUGAAACCAUUAGCGUGCGUCCCACAAACACCCUCGUGAACUUCUUCCAAGAUUAACUUAGCUUUCACGACGUCAACACAUCUCAGCAGUACUUAGUCCUUUCUUCUUUUGUACAAGAUGUCCACAUCCAAAACGUAGUUGCAGGCUAAUCUCCUUAAAGUUCGCUUAUCAUUUUUAGUUGCCUAUUCUGGGUAUUUACGAUCUCUCACCUAUCGCAAUAUAUCCUGAUACCAAGGGUUAUCAUCUUUUUCUUCUUCCUCAAUGUUACAAUAGCGAGCUGGAGCCUCAAAGAUACUCAUCUAAAUGGGUCUCAUCUCCUCUUUUUUAUUCGCUUUAAUCAUUGAAGCCAAGGUCGCUAGAGCAUCUGCUAUCUGGUUUUCAUCUAGUGGGAUAUAAUUGAAAGUGAUGUCAUCGAACUCCUCAAGUAACCCCAAAACUACCUUUUGAUUAUUGAUCAAUUUAGAAUCCCUUGUCUCCCAUUCACCUCUAAGCUGGUAAAUUACCAACGCAGAGUCUCCAUAUACUUCCAAAGUUCUUAUUCCUCACUCUAUAGCUGCUCAGAGUCUCAUGAUGCACACUUCAUAUUCGGACAUAUUGUUUGUGCAAUCAAAAUCUAACUUGCACGUGAAUGGAUAAUGAUCACCAUUUGGGGAUACCAAGACUGCCCCGAUUCUAUUUUCCACUGCAUUGGAUGCGCCGUCAAAAUUCAGCUUCAAUGUACGUUCUUCAAUAGUUGCCACAUACAUCAAAUCCUCAUUAGGGAAAUCAAAGUUUAAUGGCUCAUAAUCUUCUAGAGCUCUACUUGCCAGAAAUUCUGCUCUCGCACUCCCUUUUAUAGCCUUUUGACUCACAUAAACUAUGUCAAAUUCUGAAAGCAAUAUUUGCCACCUUGCCAUUCUUCCAUUUAAUGCUGUUGACUCCAUCAUGUACUUUAAUGGAUCAAGUUUUGAAAUUAGCCAAGUCGUAUGAUAUAACAUAUAUUGCCUCAAUCUUCGAGUCGUCCAGAUUAAAGUACAACACAAUUUCUCAAUUGGUGAAUAUCUCAUCUCACACUCUGUGAAUUUCUUGCUGAGGUAGUAUAUUGCCCUCUCUUUUCUUCCUGACUUGUCAUGUUUGCCAAGCACACAUCCCAUAGAUUUACUAAACACUGAUAAGGACAUAAUUAAUGGUCUAUCUGGACUAGGCGGAGAUAACACUGAAGCAUUUAACAAGUAUUGCUUGACCUUAUCAAAAGCAUUCUGGCAUUCCUCAUCCCAAGUACCUUGGUUGUGUUUUCUAAGGAGGCGAAAUAUAGGAUCACAUUUUUCGGUUAAUUGUGAAAUAAAUCGAGCAAUAUAAUUCAAUCUUCCAAGAAAACCCUGAACUUCCUUUUAAGUACGUGGCAGAGGCAAUUCUCGUAUGGCUCUAACUUUGUCUGAGUCAACUUUUAUUCCUUUUUCGUUGACCACAAAGCCUAGUAAUUUCCCCGACCUAGCUCCAAAAAUGCAAUUUGCUGGAUUAAGUUUUAAUUGAAACUUCCGUAAUCUCAGAAAUAGCUUCCUCAAAACUUCAAUAUGUUCCUCCUCCGUUCGAGAUUUGGCAAUCAUAUCAUCAACAUACACCUUAAUUUCUUUGUGCAUCAUAUCAUGGAAUAAGGUCACCAUAGCCCUUUGGUAUGUUGCCCCGGCAUUCUUCAACCCAAAGGGCAUUACCUUGUAACAGAAUGUGCCCCACAAUGUUAUGAAGGUCGUUUUAUCCAUAUCUUUAGGAUGGAUCUUUAUUUGAUUGUACCCCGAGAAAUCAUCCAUAAAGGAGAACAACGAAUAUCCGGCUGUACUAUCUACCAAAUGUCAAUGUGUGGUAAAGGAAAGUUGUCCUUUGGGCUAGCUUUAUUCAGAUCUCUGUAAUCAAUACACAUUCGUACCUUCACAUCUUUCUUAGGAACAGGCACAAUGUUAGCCACCCAUUCUGAAUACUUAACCUCUUGUAAGAAUCCAGCAUCAAACUGUUUUUUGACUUCAUCUUUUAUUUUUAGCACAAUAUCAGGCCUCAUCCUCCGCAAUUUUUGUUGGACUGUCUUACAAUCUUGUCUUAUGGGGAGAUGAUGUACCACAAUAUCAGUAUUCAAACUUGGCAUAUCUUGAUAAGACCAUGCAAAGAUAUCCUUGAACUCACGCAAGAACUCAAUCAGUCCUUGCCUUGUGUCCUUGGCAAUACGCGUGCCGAUUUUCACCUCCUUCCCUUCCUCUAGGGCUAUAUUCUCUAUUGCCUCUUUCUCAUGGGGCAUGAUUUGUUUCUCUUCCUGUUUUACCAUCCUUAACAGAUCCGGAGACACAUCACAAUCCUGGACAUCUUCAAAAUCCUGAGAUUCCUCUAAACACAUGUCUUGCUCGCGAGAGAAAUCAGGAUUUGUAAUAUGAGUGCUCAUGUCAUUGAUAUCUAGGGACCUGUGAAGUAUAAAGAAUAUACAAAGAAUGAAUGAAUUUAAAAAUGAUUAUUUAUGUGCUAUGAAUGAAAGAAUAAGAAUUGCAAAAAUUUAACGGAAUAUUGGUUGAUAAAAAUGAAACAAUACUCGUUCAAAUUGAUAAAAGUUAUGUUUUAUUUAAAAAAAUAAUAGAUGAUUGUAAGCCCAUUCCACAAAUGUAAUCCUAUUACUCCUAGGCCCUAGAGUAACAAGAAUGUUCCGAGAAUUACUGUGAAAUAUUCCUAAAGACUACAGGAAGUUUCUCCGCAGUCCAAUUGUUCAGAGAGCUUCCCGGUUCGUAAGGGCGAAUGCCCUCAAGGUUUCCUUGCUCCAAUCCUUCAUCAUGUAUAGCAUUAAUCUGAUGACUUUCUUCUAUAAGUAACCCUCUUGAUAUAAAGACUUGGGAUAUUGGAGGGAAUGUCAUCGGCUCCCACUCCACUUCUCUUCCAUUAAAGCGCGCCCUUCUUCCCUCUUGGCACUUCUCAACUUCUUCAUCCUUUGCUUAUAAUCUGGCUUGAAGCCCAGACCAAAGCGAUCUUUCUUCUCUUUCAGUUCUGGGAUUUGAGUCCCUCAUUGCAGGUAUUUUCCUAACCCUCUUCCUGGUAAGUCUCCCUUUCCCACCAUCAUUUGUAGAGCCAUCCUCGUAGCUCUUGCUAUCUUUGGCACCUUUGGCUCACUCCCUUCUGAAAUGAAGGUUGCAUUCGCCAAUUCUAAAGAGUGAAAAGAACACUCAAUAGACUCUUCAUUCGUCUCGACAUAAGAGGCCUUGCUAGUGACUGCGACUAUAAUGUCCUCCUCCGUAUUAAUGGUUACUAACCGUCCAUCCGUCACUAACUUUAAUUUCUGGUGCAACGAUGAGGGCACUGCUCCCGCUGAAUGCAUCCAUGGCCUCCCUAAUAAGCAAUUGUAGGAGGGCUUGAUAUCCAUCACCAAGAAGUCUACUUCGUAUAUACUUGGCCCAAUUUCCAAGGGGAUGUCAAUUCUUCCCAUCACUUUCCUUUCUGUACCGUCGAAGGCUCUUACCAUAUUUUGACAUGUCUUCAUGUGAGAACUUUCAAUGGGUAAUCUAUUCAACGUAGCCAACGGUAGAACAUUCAAGGCCAAUCCAUUAUCGACGAGCACACUUGGAAGUGUGUACCCCUUGCAUCGAAUGGUAAUGUGCAAAGCCUUAGUUGACCCUCUGCCCCCUAGUGGGAUUUCAUCAUUAUUAAAGUAGAUGAAAUUAUCAGCACUUAUGUUAUUCACCAACCGGUCCAGUUUGUUAACGGAUAUGUCAUGAGUGACAUAUGUUUCGUUGAGCACAUUCAUCAAUGCAUCCCGAUGCAUCUCAGAAUUCAGAAGUAGAGCCAAUAUUGAUAUGCGAGCCGGCUGCCUACGCAACUGCUCAACCACACUAUACUCGCUAUGCUUAAAGAACUUUAGAAAUUCCUUAGCCUCCUCCUCCUUUACUGGCUCCUUGACAGGCACUUUGGCCUCUUUCUCCUUCUCUGCACUAACAUUAUUUAUUUUUGUGGGCUCCUCUCUAACGCCCACUGUAUCAUACUGCUUCCCACUCCGUGUAUGGGAACCCUCAACUUGUACAUCUUUAGACGUGCUGGCUAUAUUCUCCUCCUCCGGCACUGUCACACUGCAGUCAUUGCUCCAUGGUACCCUCUUGCUAUCCUUAUAAGGGAAAGGCGUAGGCUUAUGGAUAAUGACCUUAGGCUCCAUUUGUGCCCCCACUUCAUUAUUCCCCAGCAGGGAAAUAAUAAUCCUUGGCCGACUAUCUCCUUUCUGUUUAUCCUCCAGCACACAUACUUGUUUUUCACAAGACCUACCUUCAAAAAUUUGUAGUUCUUUGUUGUCUAUAAAGCCUUGCACCAAGGCCUUGAAUUCUUCACAAUCUUGAACUUCAUGUCCUUUUUUCUCAUGGAACUCACCAUAGUUCAUUGUUUCUCUUCUCUCGUUUUUAGAGGUUAACAUACCUCUCUUCAUCAUCUCCUCCUAAAUCACCUUCAUAGGUAUCCUCACCUCAGCAACAUCUUCCUUCAUUCUUCUCUCACUGGCUUCGCUAAUGGCAUUCACUCCUUGAUCGCUAUGAUUUGACAAUGGGUUUUCAGGAUUAGGGGUAUUGUCGAACUUCACUACCCCCAUCUUAAUAAGCCUCUCUAUGGCCUUCUUAAAACCGGUAUAGUUUUCGAUCGAAUGCUACGGUAUUCCAGCAUGAUAUUCGCAUCUGGCGUUUGCGUCAUACCAUUUGGGAUAUAGGGGCUGCAAUGGUUUCAAGUGAAAAGGAGAAAUAGCAUGUGCAUCGUAUAAGCUUUGAUAAAGCUCACGAUACGUCAUAGGGAUAGGUGUGAACUACAUCCUUUCAGAAUUCUACCUUGUAUACGAUUCCUGCCUUUGAGAACUCUGUUGCUCAACCGCAGCUGUUUUAGGUUGACCAACUGUGAUUGCCUUCGUGUUGAAGGUGCUUGUGUUAUUCACUUCACUAUCCUUUCUCCUUGGAGCCGAUCUUUUGGUCGCUUCCCCCUCGAUUUUGCCAUCCCUUAUGGCAUUCUCGAUCAUCUCUCCCACCAUGACUAUAUCCGCGAAGCUUUUAGUGGUGCUCCCAAUCAUGUGAGCGAUGAAUGGAGCCUUUAGAGUGUUGAUGAACAACAUGGUAGUCUCCUUUUCCAACAACGGUGGUUGAACUUGUAUUGCCACCUUUCUCCAUCUCUGUGCAUAUUGCCUAAAAUUUUCAUUAGGCUUUUUCUCCAUGUUUUGCAACGUGAUCCUAUUCGGAGUCAUGUCAGUCACAUGAUUGUAUUGCUGCAUAAAGGCUUGUGUAAGAUCCCUCUAUGAACUUAUUCUGGCCCGGCUCAGUUGAUUAUACCACUUGGCUGCUGCUCCAAUUAAACUAUCUUGGAAACAGUGGAUCAACAGUUGAUCAUUAUUCACGUACCCAGUCGUCCUCCUACAGAACAUCUUAAUGUGGGCUUCUGGGCAAGUAGUCCCAUUGUACUUCUCAAAUUCUGGCAUCUUGAAUUUGUGAAGAAGCACCAAGUUUGGGACCAAGCUUAGAUCUUUGGCAUCAACUCUAUAAUGCCCAUCAGCAUUCUCUAAAGCCUUGAAUUUUUACUCCAACCAUUUGCAGCGUUCUUCUAACUGUCUUGCAGCCUCAAUUCUAAAAUCCUCUUUUUCAGCCAUGUCUAAGUCAAGAAUGAUAGGAUUUGCAGGAUUGUCGCCCAAAUUAAAUCCUGAACCAGUUGGGAAAUUUAUAGGGAUCCCAGCAUCGACUGACCCUUGUUGAGGCCUUAUAGUGACAGACGGCCUCCUAUGAAGUACCUUGGUUGGUGCAAGCACAUGGGGUGGGGUGAAACCUGGAGGAUGAUCCUCACCAUCCUCGCCAGUAAUUGUCAUGGGAGCCUUUCCCUUAUCAGUGGCCCUCAGUAGUUGAGCCAUCUCAGCCAUCAUGUUCCUUUGAGCCUCCAACAUUUGCUCCCUCAUGUCAUUUUGCAUUUUUUCCAAUUGCUCUUGCAAUUGGUCCUACAUGUCCUUCUAUAGCUGUUCAAAUCUUUGGUCCAUAUUUUUUGACUUAACGCGCGUACCGUAGGGAUGUGUUGCUUCCAGAUUUUCUUUCUCUUACUCUCUUUCUCCCUUUUAAUUUUAACUAAUUAUGGUCUUUCUAUAAACUUGAAUGCAUAUGAUGUGAUGAGAUGCAAAUGCAUGAAUGUAAAAAAUGUCGAUUUUGGUUCAGUUUCAUUUUAGAAAAUGUUAUUUAAGGAACAAGAAUCUUUUCAUAAAACAGAUUACAAAUACGCUUUCGCCCGUAGGCCUAGAGUCUUAACCCUAUCUAAUAACAAUGCUAACUCUCGUCCUCUGUCUGACGACGACUCAUACAUUAUACUCAGCGUUCUAGCUUGUACCGCCAAAUCCUGCAAGUGUUCAAUAACCUCUCGAAUCUGAACUAAAGCUUCUCCCAUGAGAUAAUCCCUAUUUCCAACUUGAUCCAGAAGAUGGCGAAGUUCUCCCUUCCACUGUACUUCUCUUGCCCCGAGCUGCUCAAUCCGUAGCUCACAAUCCUGUAGUGCUGCUUCCAACCCUCCAAUAUCGUGUUUCAUUUCCUCGAUCUUAUUCAAGCUUGCCUUUAACUCGAUCGCAGAGUUACGACUUCGGUGAUGAUGAAGAGAUCGUCCAAGUUCGGCCACCUUAGUUUUUAAUCCUUGAUUUUCUUUCUCUAGGGCCUGAUUACGCGACUGCAUCUCUUAGAACUUCUUCUCCCAAUACUCGACCUUGGCUAUUUCUUCCUGAAUCUUUUGCUGCCACUGCUCUGAAGAUCUCCCUAAUCCGUCCCUUUUCAACGUUACCUGAGCCUUCUUGUAGUGCGUCUUUAAAUCAUCUCGAUCUUCCUCGAUCUUUCUCUUUUCCUUUUUCACCUUCUCGACUUCCAUCUUUUGAACAUCGAUGUUGACACUCAAGCUCAUUUUUUCUUCUUUGAGCUUUUCAAUCCUCUUUUCAAGCUCUGAAUUUUUUCUCUCGAACUCUUGCUUCAUAACCUCCAACUCUGAUGGAAUCACUCGUAAGCUCUCCUCUAAUGACCGGGCCACCCCCAAAAUCGGCCUAGGGAUAUUAUCGUUAACUCUCCUACUAAACCACCCUUUAUACUCAAGGGAUGACGUCGAGCCUUCGGUCAAGAUCUUCAUAAAGAAAGGCUUCUUCCAAGCCUCAAAAAUCUCUCGCAUCCUCCUCUUAUAGUGAUCUCCCUUAUAAGAGAAAUCACUCUGAGCUAAACCCUGUGUAGCCGGUAUGAACUUCUUCGCUAGAUAUUGCCUUAGAACAAGUAAUGGUACAUAUCCAACCACUCCCCAAAUUCCUGGCAAAGGGACCCAAUCAAAACUGCCACAGCGGUAAAGUAUUUCAUUAGGAACCAACCAAGGAGCCUUCCACAUAACAUCUUCCUCUCGAAGAUUCUGAAGAAUGUCUAUCCACCUCUCCUUCGAAAUUUCAUCUCUCCUAGGCAUUUCUAGUGCUUCCUUUAAGGGAGAAUAACCCUCAAAGAAUACUCGGCAAGGAACCUUAUUAAGCUUCCAGAAGUGGCUAUGGAGCCAGACUAGCAACAAUUGCGCACAUCCAAUAAAUCUACCCUCGCUGGCCCUCUGACAUGCACUCAAAGAUCUAAGUGUCUCAGCUAGGAUUGCUGGUACCGGUGUAUUCUGCUUACCGACACGAUUGUACAAAUCUACCACUGUCUCAUCUAUGUGCCCCAACGGCUUUAGGAAAAUCACCAUGCCGUAAAUACUCAAAGCUAGGACGUCAACCCUUUUCUUUAUGUUUGGAUGUAUCGAUAUCAAAUCCCUCAAAACAGCCCAUAAAACGCACUUACUAUCACAUUUUUGCUGUACACGAGCUACAGCCCACUGCUCACUCAUCCCAAUAAUCAUCACCAACUUCUUUGCAAAAGUUGGAAGACUAGCAGGCCUAACAUAAGCCUUGUGACCCUGAAUCCUCGGGCAACGCAGUAAAGUCGUAUACUCCUCCAAAGUAGGUACAAGAUCAACAUCACCAAAUGUAAAGCAACUAUAAGCAGGGUUCCAGAAUUGUACCAUAGCUCGAAACAAGUGCCUAUCUACUUUGACGUCUAGCAAAUAGGGAAGGUCUCCAUAAUUCUGAUAGAAAAGCUGCUUAGCCUCGUCAUCCCAUUGGGCCCAAAUGUCUCUCAACUCCUGAAACUCAUUCUGCGUCGAACUAAUACGGGUGAAGUCCCAUAACUCUAACGUAUGCCCCUCAGUGACACUGUCUCCUUUCUCUAACUGGGUUUUCUCUGACCAGGUACAGACAGAGGAUUGUCCUCCACUUUAUUAAGAUAUUCGUUCCCCAUUACAAAACUUUCUAACUGAGAAAUCGAACCGUGAAUCGAUAUCUUUUGCAUGACAUGCAAUGAUAGCAAAAUAAAAUAGGUCAGUAUCAUAUAUAAGAAAUGAUAAACAAGUACUUACAAGGGUAACUUACUAAAGGCUAUCACUAUUUUCCCUAGGGUAAGCACUUAAGGUUCACUAUAUGAGUUUCAGUUCUAAAGCGAGGGUACCUGAACCAGCAGAUUCCUCGGUCCUCACCCAUUAUAGGCUCAUAUAGACCAAGUUCAGCUCAGGGGAACACAUUUCCCUAUGGCCAUGCGGAGAUGAAAAUCUCACGAAGACAUAGGUACAGUAUCUCGGAAGCAAUCCACUAACUCAUGCGGAGGUGAAAACCUCACGAAAGCUUAGUUUCUUACUCCCACUUAAAGGUGUGACCAACGGUCAUGAAAAUGCAAUGUGCGAAAUCAACAUAUGCAACAUACACUUGUAAAAUGAUCAAUCUUUUAAAAUUUUCCAAAUUUUUGACAUUAAGACACAAAAACUCAAUUUCUUGGCUUGACUCUCUUAUAAGUCCCUAGUGGAGUCGCCAAGCUGUCGAAACCUCUUUUGAAAUUGGGGAGGGUAUUUUGAAAACGAGAGUCGCCACCAACCUUUUAAAGUGUGAUUGGAUCAUUUUAUAAAACGUUUUGGUCUACGAAAUUACGAGAAAAUAGGUUCAGGAAUCAGUUACGCACGAGGAAGGAUUAGCACCCUCGUAACGCCCAAAAUUGGUACCAAAUUGAAUAAUUUUGUCUUAAUGUCAAAAGUUUAAAAGAAUUUAGAAAUAAGAUCUCUUUAAAACUGUAAUAAUUUGAAUUAGAAUAGAAUCAAGAUUCUGUGGCUUCGAAAGAAUAUAAACAUCAUAUCCAGCAUGAUUGGACAUGAUAUUUUUAACUUUUGUAACUAAAAUCAUCUUGUAAUUUUCAAAACUUAUUUAGAAUGAUAUUUUAGGUAUUUAGACAAAUAGGAAAUCGCAACCCAGCAUGUUAGGGCACUACCUCCAGAAUUCCUAAAUACCAAAAACAUUGCCUUAUUUUUUUAAAAAAUCUUUUGGAUCGAAUGAAAUAUAAAAGUUCUUUUAAAGUGAUGAUGCAUUUGUCAUAUUACAAAGGAUCAAUAUUAACCUACAUGAUACUUAUUUUAACAUUUCAUGCAAAUAUUAGAAAGAUGAAUAAUGGCAUAAAUUACACAAUAUACGUUAUUAUCUUAUGCAUAUAUGAUCAUAAAUAACAUAAAUGUACAUGCAUUAUCGUUACAUGCAAAAUACAACGUAGAACAUAAUGAAUACAACAAAUAUAAAUUACAAUAUAUAUGAUGAUAUUUUAUGCAAAUGUAACUUAAAUUAACAUAAAUAAUUAAUUUCAUGCGAAUAUAUAAAAACAAUAACAUAAAAUAACAAAUAAUCUAUGAAAAUUUAACCUACUAAAACAAUAUCAAAAUAAAAGAAAAAAAAAGCAAAUUAUAAACAUAUAAAAUAUAAAUCAAAUGGAAUAAAAAUACAGAUAUUUAAAAAUAUUUAAAAUAAUAUAAGAAUGAUAAAGGAGAACCCUUUUUUUUUAAAAAGAAAAUGAUUAAUAUAUAAAUCAUGUUACAGAAUAUAAUAACUUAAUAUAUAUUAAAAAAAUAAUGUACUAAAUAGUAAUAUUGCACAUAUUUAUUUAAUAAAAAAACAUCUGUAGUUAAUGAGUAAUAAAAUAAUGUAUAUUUUAUAAUAAAAAUAAAAGUAAUGUAAGGAAUAAUAUAUGGUAAAAUAUAUAGCAUAUAAUAAAAUUUAUAAACAAAGUAUAUAAUAAUAUAACCAUAUGAUAAGUAAUAUAUAAAAAAUAUAUAUAUAUAAAAUGUAUAUAAUAUAAUAUAUAAUAAAAGGAAGAUAUUAUAAGGAAUAAUAUAUAAGAAAAUAUAAUAUGUAAUAAUAUAUAAAUAAAAUAUAACGAAAUAUAAAUACUAUCAUAUAAGUGAGGAUAAUAUAUAUACUAUUAUUUAAUAAUAUUUUUUUAAAGAUUUAAAAUUUACACAAUUAAUGAAUAAUAAUACAUAAUUUAUAAAUAAAUAUAAAAUUGAAAAAGGAAAAAAUGUAAGAAAUAAUAUAUAUAGUAAAAUAUAAUGUAUGAUAUAAUUUAUAAAUAAAAUUUAUAAUAAUAAAAAUAAUAUAAUGGAUAAUAUAUAUAAUAAAAAUAAUAUGUUAUUUUAUAUAACUAAUAUUUAUAAAAAUAAUAAUAUAUAAAGUAUAUAAUAAAUAAAUUAUGCAAAAAAUAUUUAAAAGGAUUGAAAUUAAAUAAAACUAAAGUUCUAGGGCUGAUUUUAAAAUAAAAAAAAAGUGCAGGCCUAAUUGGAACGCGUUCAACACUACAAGGGACUCACUAGGCAAUUUUCCCUAAUCCCAAAACGACGUCGUUCUUCAGAAUGAAUUUUAAUGGCCGUUAGGAUUAAAUUGAAACAAAUAUAAAAGAUUAGGGCCGAAUUAAAAUAAAAAUAAAAUGAAAUUAUAAAGAUUAAAAAUGAGGAAGGACCAAUUGGGAGAUUAUCCCUUUUCCCAAAACAUGCGGAUCCUCCCCGGGUCUCGGGUCAACGCGCGGAUCCCAGCUUAAACGAUGCCGUUUUGGUACUUAUCAGAUUAAGUAAAACGACACCGUUUUAAUUACACUAUUUAAGUCAAUUUUCGGCCCAAAAAUUCAUUUUAGGAAACUGUUUUAAAAAAAAAAUUUGAAAACUCUCUGAAAGAGAGGAGAGGGCAGUCCUCCGGGCUCCGGUCUCCGUCGGGCCAAGCCCCGGUCAUCGGACUCACGCGCCCAUGCGCUGUCACCGACUUCGCCGUAUACGACUGCCGGAAGUUGAAAAACUUCCAUUUUUGUGCACAUUCAACGGUAAACGCUCCUUUCUUUUAUUUCUAUAACAUUUGUAUAUGUUUGCAAGAAGAACAGGUAAAGAACUAAUCACCUUUUGUUUUCGUCGAUAAACUGUUGUAUAUAUUUGUAUUUCUUUUUUUCUCCAAAAAAAAACCCUACAUCGUUUCUACAUCGUUUUAAUUCGGGCUUUUUAUAGCCACUGUACAUAGUAUUUUACAUAUUUAAUGUUAUUUCCUGCCAUAUUUGUGUUGCCUCUGUCGUUCUUCUUUCCCCUUUUGCAGGUACCAGCGAGGAGAUUUAGCAAUGAACGAACGCUGACAACGGCACACCGGCGUUGAUUCGGGCGUCGACCACGGCAUGAUUCAAAGCCUGGAAUCAUGGCCUGGAACCACGGCAUUGAUAGUGGGUAACUGGAAUGACGCGAGACGAACAAACGCGUUGAUUGAAGUGUUUGCGGCGCCUAAG